This 451-nucleotide ribosomal RNA is filed under the name uncultured bacterium. RNAcentral's name for it is "partial 16S ribosomal RNA". It matches the Rfam family "Bacterial small subunit ribosomal RNA", at positions 28 to 507 of the family's 1533-position model. The record is from RNAcentral.
AGCGAACGCUGGCGGCAUGCCUAACACAUGCAAGUCGCACGGGGGGGCUUCGGCCUCCCAGUGGCGGACGGGUGAGGAACGCGUAGGGACCUGUCGAGGGGUGGGGGAUAACCGCGGGAAACUGCGGCUAAUACCGCAUGACGCCGCGGCGUGACAGCCGGGGCCAAAGGCGAAAGCCGCCCGCCGAGGGGCCUGCGUCCGAUUAGCUGGUUGGCGGGGUAGCGGCCCACCAAGGCGUCGAUCGGUAGCUGGUCUGAGAGGGUGAUCAGCCACACCGGGACUGAGACACGGCCCGGACUCCUACGGGAGGCAGCAGUGGGGAAUAUUGGACAAUGGGCGCAAGCCUGAUCCAGCAAUGCCGCGUGGGUGAAGAAGGUCUUCGGAUUGUAAAGCCCUUUCGGCGGGGACGAUGGUGGCGGUACCCGCAGAAGAAGCCCCGGCUAACUUCGUG